UGCUAAAGCUCAAAAUCAGUAUCUCUGUUUUAACAUUGCCGUGAGGAGUGCAUGAUGGAGUCGAGAAGGUGCCGUCUUUGUUUAAAUUACGUUAAACGUAUUCAAGACAUGGUUGAUCUUUUCCGUGACCAAAAUGCCCACUUACUAGCGCAACUCAAUUCAACUAGUAAAUUGCAGCUCGAGAAAAUUCCAGGACAUCCGGUGCCUAUUUGCAGACUAUGCCUCAUUGAUUUGGGAUGUGCUACAGCAUUUCGCAACCGCUGUUCUCUUUCAGAAAAACAGUUGAUACAAAAGUUAAUUCAAAACAUGACUAGUACAAGUCGAGCCACUUAAAGGAGUU
Drosophila navojoa is the source of this 340-nucleotide long non-coding RNA. The record is from RefSeq and is a predicted model, not a curated record. NCBI's taxonomy places the organism in Eukaryota, Metazoa, Arthropoda, Insecta, Diptera, Drosophilidae.